Molecule: non-coding RNA, 259 nt
Organism: Cinara cedri
Lineage: Eukaryota; Metazoa; Arthropoda; Insecta; Hemiptera; Aphididae
Source: the annotation of a GenBank genome assembly
AAAAGCAAUGAAUGCAUUUAUACAUAUUUCAUUUGUAUCAAAUAUUGUGAAAGACAGUAUCAAAAUGUAUGUUUGAUUAAAAUAAACAUGAUUUUCCCAAAGAUUAAUAUAAUUUAUAUUUAAUAUUAAUAUAAUUUAUAAUUAAAAGUGGAAGUCAGAAAGAUUAUUAGUAUAAGCAAACUAGUAUGCUAUUCAACAUUUAAUCAAAUUAUACAUUUAUUAUUAUUUCAUUUGGAAUUGUAAUAUUUUAUAUCUAAAC